CUACGGGGGGCUCCAGUGGGGAAUAUUGCACAAUGGGCGCAAGCCUGAUGCAGCCAUGCCGCGUGUAUGAAGAAGGCCUUCGGGUUGUAAAGUACUUUCAGCGGGGAGGAAGGGAGUAAAGUUAAUACCUUUGCUCAUUGACGUUACCCGCAGAAGAAGCACCGGCUAACUCCGUGCCAGCAGCCGCGGUAAUACGAGGGUGCAAGCGUUAAUCGGAAUGACUGGGCGUAAAGCGCACGCAGGCGGUUUGUUAAGUCAGAUGUGAAAUCCCCGGGCUCAACCUGGGAACUGCAUCUGAUACUGGCAAGCUUGAGUCUCGUAGAGGGGGGUAGAAUUCCAGGUGUAGCGGUGGAAUGCGUAGAGAUCUGGAGGAAUACCGGUGGCGAAGGCGGCCCCCUGGACGAAGACUGACGCUCAGGUGCGAAAGCGUGGGGAGCAAACAGGAUUAGAUACCCGUGUAGUC
RNAcentral lists this ribosomal RNA (463 nucleotides) under uncultured bacterium. Its description in RNAcentral is "partial 16S ribosomal RNA". It matches the Rfam family "Bacterial small subunit ribosomal RNA", at positions 339 to 795 of the family's 1533-position model. The record is from RNAcentral.